AAUGGGAAGAUUAGCUGUGGGGUAAGAGGACUUUGCUCAUUUUACUGAUGAAGAAACUGAGACAAACUGAGACAAACAUGGUCCGAGG
This 88-nucleotide long non-coding RNA is filed under the name Monodelphis domestica (gray short-tailed opossum). Its description in RNAcentral is "lncRNA (ENSMODG00000044651.1)". The record is from RNAcentral. Lineage: Eukaryota; Metazoa; Chordata; Mammalia; Didelphimorphia; Didelphidae.